This 407-nucleotide ribosomal RNA is filed under the name uncultured eukaryote. Its description in RNAcentral is "SSU rRNA". It matches the Rfam family "Eukaryotic small subunit ribosomal RNA", at positions 567 to 981 of the family's 1831-position model. The record is from RNAcentral.
CCAGCAGCUGCGGUAAUUCCAGCUCCAAUAGCGUAUAUUUAAGUUGUUGCAGUUAAAAAGCUCGUAGUUGGAUUUCGGGUGGGUUCUAGCGGUCCGCCUCUGGUGAGUACUGCUAUGGCCUUCCUUUCUGCCGGGGACGGGCUCCUGGGCUUAACUGUCCGGGACUCGGAAUCGGCGAAGUUACUGUGAGUAAAUUAGAGUGUUCAAAGCAAGCCUACGCUCUGAAUACAUUAGCAUGGAAUAACACGAUAGGACUCUGGCCUAUCCUGUUGGUCUGUAGGACCGGAGUAAUGAUUAAGAGGGACAGUCGGGGGCAUUCGUAUUUCAUUGUCAGAGGUGAAAUUCUUGGAUUUAUGAAAGACGAACUUCUGCGAAAGCAUUUGCCAAGGAUGUUUUCAUUAAUCACG